AACAUCACUUGUAGCUCUAGUGACCAGUAAGCAAACCGAAACGAUUCCCGUGCCUUUCCCACCUUACGGAGCAUCUGUUGCAGCUGAAUUCACUGAUUUACCAGCCUUCAUAUAUUCGUCAGCUGUUCUCUCAGUGACUUGCUUCUACAGCAUAAUUACCACCAUCUUAUCUUUCUCCGCACUGGUGAAACGUUCUACAACAUCAUCAAAGUUGAUGUCAUGUGUUUUCUCGGUAGAUGUGCUACUCUUGGGUAUUUUAGCUUCCACAACUGGAGCCUCAGGUGAAGUAGCCUACUUAGGACUCAAAGGAAACUCAAAUGUAGGAUGGCACAAGAUCUGCAAUGUCUAUGAUUCCUACUGUCGACACAUUGGAUUCUCCGUUUUAACCUCAAUCUUUUCCUCCAUGGUGCUAUCAUUCCUGAUCAUCCUCUACAUCAUUACUGUAUCACGAAGAUAAACAAAUGACCAUGCCACCGACUCAUCAAAAUAUUGAGAUUGGUUUCUUGGCAGGCUCCCUGUAU
Daucus carota subsp. sativus is the source of this 521-nucleotide long non-coding RNA. RefSeq lists it as uncharacterized. The record is from RefSeq and is a predicted model, not a curated record. The transcript is spliced from 3 exons. NCBI's taxonomy places the organism in Eukaryota, Viridiplantae, Streptophyta, Magnoliopsida, Apiales, Apiaceae.